GGAGGAUUACCCAAGUGGCUGAAGGGGGCGGUCUUGAAAACCGCUAGGCCGUGAGAACGACGCGAGGGUUCGAAUCCCUCAUCCUCCU
This is a transfer RNA of 88 nucleotides. It matches the Rfam family "tRNA". From Rfam's summary of the family: Transfer RNA (tRNA) molecules are approximately 80 nucleotides in length. Their secondary structure includes four short double-helical elements and three loops (D, anti-codon, and T loops). The record is from Rfam.